Molecule: long non-coding RNA, 1798 nt
Filed under: Phaseolus vulgaris (common bean)
Lineage: Eukaryota; Viridiplantae; Streptophyta; Magnoliopsida; Fabales; Fabaceae
Description: long non-coding RNA (PVUL_LNC001414)
Source: RNAcentral
UCCAAUAAUAUAUUAAAGUCAGUGGAGAUAGUGGGAAAAAAGAAAACCAGACCUAAUAAGACGAUUCUUUGCACAUAUCUUAAAGACCUUCCACCUUCUCUGUGGUACAUAACCAUCACUCAUAAUAAUUAAUCGCCACCAAAAUAUGUUAGAGUGUCACUUUAAUUGUAUGUUUCUUUGCAAUUAUGGUUACAAAAAUAAACUUGUUCUUGCAAGGGCCUAGAAACAAUCUUCUUUCUUUUGAGGUUGUUGAUUUCUUGGUCUUCUUUCUCGGUGUGAACUGUCGGUCUGGGCUUUUGGCUUGGACCUCUCGGUCUGGGCUUUCGGUUUGGACCUCUCGAUUUGGACCUGAAUAUGACUUGUAGACUCUCACUUCUUUGGGCUAGGUCAACUAGAUGUCUCAGUUCUUGGUCUCGGUCUCCUUUCACGGAUGAGUGUGUGUACCUGAAAGGUGCUCCAAUGCCAAAGUCAGAAUUGGUACUAGUUAAUUAUAAGAUAAAUUCACUUUACUUACCUUUUAGGUUGAACAUCUAUUAUAAGACUCUUUUAUUGGGCUUAGAAGCUGCUUGUGUCAUUUCUUUUUUGUACUAACAUUUUUAAACUCACAUCUGUAUCUUUGAGUCUUUUUUAUGGACUUUGUUACAAUAACUAAUUUAAUUUAAUUUAUUUAUUUUUUGUAUUUAACUAUUUGGUGACCUUUUCCAAAAUGACUACUUAAAAUUUGUCUCACAAAUUCUGUGCCUUAUACACGCACUACAAAAUACUUUUUAAUUCAUGUCUCCAAUUUUUAAGGAGUAUUUUUAUUUUUAAUUUUCCUCCAAAUUAAUUGCAUCAAUCUCUUUUGAUAAAGAUAUUUCAAAAAAUGGUACAUUUAUGGUUGUUUGUAAGGAAAAAACUAUUUUUUUAUGAAAUAGUUUAAGUGUAUGUUUGUCUGGAUAUAUUUUCUUAGAAAUUUGGUACUGGAGAUAUUACAAAGUUCCAUUGGAUUAAAGUUUAAUUUUCCUCCUAUGCAUCAACAUCAAUAUAUUCGUAAUAAAAAAUGAUAUUUUUUAUCAAUAAAAAAAUAAAAAAAAUAAAGUAUUUAAGAAAUAUCCCAACCAUUCAAAACUACUUAUCAUUCGUAACAAGAAAUGAUAUUCGAAGAAGAAAUGAUAUACCUGUGCAUACCAGCAUUUCACCUUGUGUUGGAAAAUCCUUUCUAGGAAAAACCUCUUUCCUACACCAUGAAUUCCCUUGCAGUUUUUACCAACAUAACACCAUAGUUUGUGAUGUGAUAUUCGCAAAAGUGAUCCAUACUAGUGUAUCAAAUUAUCCAUUCAUGUUCGUUAGGACCUUUUGGAGAUGCUAUUACAUUAUAAUAUAUAUUCACUAUUAUUUGCUUCCUUCUCUGUUUUCUCACUUAUCAGCAACAAAAAUAAUGAAAAUCACGAUAUUGUUGAUGAUCAUAACAAAGUAUGAAAAUAUAUAUACUGAAAACAAAUUCUUCCACUGAUGCAAUCACAAAGGAGUUGAACAACAAGAAUUUUCAUGAAAAACAUAUCAAAAUAAGAGAGUGAUAAGAAACAUGAACAGGUUACUGAUAAUCAUUUCAUCAUUAAACAAUGAAAACUUAAAACAUUCCAUGCUAGCUCAUAAACCAAAACCUAUGUCACUGGUUUGAGACACUAGAAUGGAUCACCAUGGCAUAUCGCAUGAUCCUAAAGGGAGCGACUCAGAGAAAUAAACGCAGUGAAGAAAUGAAAGAGAUAUAUAAUAAUGGGAUAGCUCAUGAUUUUCGAUUGGUGGAUGUGGCUUUUGA